AGAGUUUGAUCCUGGCUCAGAUUGAACGCUGGCGGCAUGCUUUACACAUGCAAGUCGAACGGCAGCACGGGGGCAACCCUGGUGGCGAGUGGCGAACGGGUGAGUAAUACAUCGGAACGUACCCAGUAGUGGGGGAUAACCAGUCGAAAGACUGGCUAAUACCGCAUACGACCUUUGGGUGAAAGCGGGGGAUCGCAAGA
This 200-nucleotide ribosomal RNA is filed under the name uncultured bacterium. RNAcentral describes it as "partial 16S ribosomal RNA". It matches the Rfam family "Bacterial small subunit ribosomal RNA", at positions 8 to 211 of the family's 1533-position model. The record is from RNAcentral.